GGGGAAUUUUGGACAAUGGGCGCAAGCCUGAUCCAGCCAUGCCGCGUGAGUGAAGAAGGCCUUCGGGUUGUAAAGCUCUUUCAGACGGAAAGAAAUCUCUCAGGAUAAUACCUCUGGAGGAUGACGGUACCGUAAGAAGAAGCACCGGCUAACUACGUGCCAGCAGCCGCGGUAACACGUAGGGGGCGAGCGUUGUUCGGAAUCAUUGGGCGUAAAGGGCGCGCAGGCGGCGAGGCAAGUCCGGUGUGAAAGUGCUCGGCUCAACCGAGUGAUGCGCUGGAAACUGCCCUGCUUGAGUACAGGAGGGGACGUCGGAAUUCCAGGUGUAGGGGUGAAAUCUGUAGAUAUCUGGAAGAACACCGGUGGCGAAGGCGGACGUCUGGCCAUGUACUGACGCUGAGGCGCGAAGGUGCGGGGAGCGAACA
Molecule: ribosomal RNA, 425 nt
Filed under: uncultured bacterium
Lineage: Bacteria
Description: bacterial SSU rRNA
Rfam family: Bacterial small subunit ribosomal RNA
Source: RNAcentral